Molecule: ribosomal RNA, 253 nt
Filed under: uncultured bacterium
Lineage: Bacteria
Description: partial 16S ribosomal RNA
Rfam family: Bacterial small subunit ribosomal RNA
Source: RNAcentral
UACGUAGGGGGCAAGCGUUGUCCGGAAUCAUUGGGCGUAAAGCGCGUGUAGGCGGUUCGGUAAGUCGGCUGUGAAAGUCCAGGGCUCAACCCUGGGAUGCCGGUCGAUACUGCCGGACUAGAGUUCGGAAGAGGCGAGUGGAAUUCCCGGUGUAGCGGUGAAAUGCGCAGAUAUCGGGAGGAACACCAAUGGCGAAGGCAGCUCGCUGGGACGUUACUGACGCUGAGUCGCGAAAGCGUGGGGAGCAAACAGG